RNAcentral lists this ribosomal RNA (1343 nucleotides) under uncultured bacterium. RNAcentral's name for it is "16S ribosomal RNA". It matches the Rfam family "Bacterial small subunit ribosomal RNA", at positions 28 to 1378 of the family's 1533-position model. The record is from RNAcentral.
GACGAACGCUGGCGGCGUGCUUAACACAUGCAUGUCGAACGGAAAGGCCCUGCUUUUGUGGGGUGCUCGAGUGGCGAACGGGUGAGUAACACGUGAGUAACCUGCCCUUGACUUUGGGAUAACUUCAGGAAACUGGGGCUAAUACCGGAUAGGAGCUCCUGCUGCAUGGUGGGGGUUGGAAAGUUUCGGCGGUUGGGGAUGGACUCGCGGCUUAUCAGCUUGUUGGUGGGGUAGUGGCUUACCAAGGCUUUGACGGGUAGCCGGCCUGAGAGGGUGACCGGCCACAUUGGGACUGAGAUACGGCCCAGACUCCUACGGGAGGCAGCAGUGGGGAAUAUUGCACAAUGGGCGGAAGCCUGAUGCAGCAACGCCGCGUGCGGGAUGACGGCCUUCGGGUUGUAAACCGCUUUCGCCUGUGACGAAGCGUGAGUGACGGUAAUGGGUAAAGAAGCACCGGCUAACUACGUGCCAGCAGCCGCGGUGAUACGUAGGGUGCGAGCGUUGUCCGGAUUUAUUGGGCGUAAAGGGCUCGUAGGUGGUUGAUCGCGUCGGAAGUGUAAUCUUGGGGCUUAACCCUGAGCGUGCUUUCGAUACGGGUUGACUUGAGGAAGGUAGGGGAGAAUGGAAUUCCUGGUGGAGCGGUGGAAUGCGCAGAUAUCAGGAGGAACACCAGUGGCGAAGGCGGUUCUCUGGGCCUUUCCUGACGCUGAGGAGCGAAAGCGUGGGGAGCGAACAGGCUUAGAUACCCUGAUAGUCCACGCUGUAAACGGUGGGUACUAGGUGUGGGGUCCAUUCCACGGGUUCCGUGCCGUAGCUAACGCUUUAAGUACCCCGCCUGGGGAGUACGGCCGCAAGGCUAAAACUCAAAGGAAUUGACGGGGCCCCGCACAAGCGGCGGAGCAUGCGGAUUAAUUCGAUGCAACGCGUAGAACCUUACCUGGGUUUGACAUGGAUCGGGAGUGCUCAGAGAUGGGUGUGCCUCUUUUGGGGUCGGUUCACAGGUGGUGCAUGGCUGUCGUCAGCUCGUGUCGUGAGAUGUUGGAUUAAGUCCCGCAACGAGCGCAACCCUUGUUCACUGUUGCCAGCACGUUAUGGUGGGGACUCAGUGGAGACCGCCGGGGUCAACUCGGAGGAAGGUGGGGAUGACGUCAAGUCAUCAUGCCCCUUAUGUCCAGGGCUUCACGCAUGCUACAAUGGCUGGUACAGAGAGUGGCGAGCCUGUGAGGGUGAGCGAAUCUCGGAAAGCCGGUCUCAGUUCGGAUUGGGGUCUGCAACUCGACCUCAUGAAGUCGGAGUCGCUAGUAAUCGCAGAUCAGCAACGCUGCGGUGAAUACGUUCCCGGG